GAGAAUGUUGAGCGAUAUUCUUCUGGUCUGCAGCCAUCAAUCGGACUUUUUGGUUUGUCCUUCGCCAUUCUGAGUAAAGCUGGCAGUGAUAGCGGAAUGAAACCUUUGGGCAAAAACCAACAUGUAUUAUUCUUAAAGAUUCAGAGAAAAAUGGCCAUCAGCAUCAAGUAGUGGAUCAUGCAUCACCAUACUAGACCGGAGUGGCAGUUCUAUAUAGGGCUACUGCAAGCCACACUGCAGAUUGCUAGGGGUGUUUCCCUAGAGGAACAACUAACAACCACAACUUUGUAAGUGACUUUCCAGAUCUGUGCUCCUGACACUUAGAAUGACAACAGCAGCAGAUGCGUGGAAUGAUACCAAUUUCAAGUUCUUCUGCACAUGGAAGUGUUUGGCUCACCAUUGUGCCAGGAAGUCUACAGUUCAAAGUUUAAGAUCCCCAAUUCAAAAAUAUGAUAUCAUCUUGAUUUCAUAUUUCUUUGAGGAUAUUGGAAGGACAGUUGGAAAGACAGGUAGAGUGCUGAAAGAUGGAAUUUAAUCCAGACAAUUGUGAGGUAAUGCAUUUGACGAGGAGAAGAUGGUGACACAACGGAGCGCACAUGGACUCUCCGGUGAAUGACAUGUGUAAUCUGUCAAGUAGGGGACCGUGCACAAUUUUGAUUUGAUGGAGACAGGCGUGACAGUACGGAGGAACAUCUGGAGAAACUUCUGAAAUGCCAGCUUCACUGCCGCUGCUACUGUGUGGUAACCGGAAUCUCCGGAGCAGAAGGCCCCCAAUCCUCAGCUUUGCUUGUUUCAGCGGCCGGGGCUAGGUCAAAGGCACUCGGGAGGCUGUAUUGGGGGGCUGGUCGGAGGCUCGAAGUUUUCGAUGGACGGACUCGGUGUUGGCUGCUUCCAAGGCAUCGGCAGUUGUCAGUGCCUUGGAAGUUUAUGGCAGGGAGUUUCUCCCUUUGCCGCUUGCUAUUGGGGACUUGGGAGUCGAUCGAGACUUGAGACUUUUUCUUACCAUGCCCAUGGUCUGUUCUUUAUCAAAUUAUGGUACUGUUUUGCACUGCUGUAACUAUAUGCUAUAAUUAUGUGGUUUUGUCAGUGUUAGUCUUUGGUUUGUCCUGUUUUCUGUGAUAUCACUCUGGAGGAACAUUGUAUCAUUUCUUAAUGCAUGUAUGCAUUUCUAAAUGACAAUAAAAGAGGACUGAGUGUUCUCAUAAUCUAAAUACUAACAAGACAUACAAGUUAACCAGCAGAAACUUCAGGAGUGUUGAUAUACAGGAGGACCUUGGGCUGCAUGUAGCUAAGGUAGGGAAGAAAGUAUUCAGCAUGCUCGGUUUCAUGGACCAAGAAACUGAGUAUAAGACUUGGGAUGCUAUGCUGCAUUUGUUCAAACAUUGGUCAGGCCUCACUUGGAGUGUUGUGCAGAGCUCUGGUCAAGAAGCUACAAGGUGGAUGUGGUAGCAUCAGGAAGAAUGCAGAAGAGAUUCAUCAGGAUGUUACACCUAGAAUGGAGGGCUGUGGCUGUGGUUAUAUGGAGAGUUUAAAUAGACUGGGUUUAUUCUCACUAAAAACUCAGCUGAGGAAUGUUUAUAAGAUGACGGGGGGCAUAGACUUAGUCAAAAUCUUCUUAGGGCGGAGGAAUCUUCAACUAGAAGACACAUGUUAAAGAUGAGAGAGGAAAAAUUUAAAGAUCUUAGGAGCAAGUAUUUCCAUUCAGAGGAUGGAGGUUAGAUAAGUAAACUAACAGAAGAAACAGUAGAGCCAGAUGCUAUAACAAUGGUUAGAUGGCAUUUAGGCAGGUACUUGCAUUGGAAAGGAGUAGAAGGAUACAAGUCUAAUCCAGGCAAAUGGAAUUUGCCUAGAGAGGCAUCACAGUCAACAUGGACAAGGUGGGCAGAAGGGUCCAUUCCUACACUGCACAAUUCUAUAACUCAAAAGACAGAUUCAUCAUCUAUCGAAUUAUUGUUGUGUUACUUUUUUAAAAAUUCUGCAUUCAAUCUCCAAGAUGUAUUACAAAAGACAAAGUAGACCUUUUAAUAUAAAUGAAAUGGGAGCCUAGACUAGUAACAAAGCUAUUAAAAUAAUUAUUCUAUAAUUGCAUAUUUGCAAAACACACAUGCACACAGAAAGGUGAGAAAAGGAGAAGUAUUUCUUUCAACCUAGCAAAAUGAGUGAGAUUAUAUGAGUGGAAUAAUUCAGUAAUG
Molecule: long non-coding RNA, 2192 nt
Organism: Mobula hypostoma (lesser devil ray)
Lineage: Eukaryota; Metazoa; Chordata; Chondrichthyes; Myliobatiformes; Myliobatidae
Exons: 3
Source: RefSeq, a predicted model, not a curated record